CCCAGACUCCUACGGGAGGCAGCAGUGGGGAAUAUUGCACAAUGGGCGAAAGCCUGAUGCAGCGACGCCGCGUGAGUGAAGAAGUAUUUCGGUAUGUAAAGCUCUAUCAGCAGGGAAGAAAAUGACGGUACCUGACUAAGAAGCCCCGGCUAACUACGUGCCAGCAGCCGCGGUAAUACGUAGGGGGCGAGCGUUAUCCGGAUUCACUGGGUGUAAAGGGAGCGUAGACGGCCGUGCAAGCCAGGAGUGAAAGCCCGGGGCCCAACCCCGGGACUGCUCUUGGAACUGUGCGGCUGGAGUGCGGGAGGGGCAGGCGGAAUUCCUGGUGUAGCGGUGAAAUGCGUAGAUAUAAGGAGGAACACCGGCGGCGAAGGCGGCCUGCUGGACCGCGACUGACGUUGAGGCUCGAAAGCGUGGGGAGCGAACAGGAUUAGAUACCCGGGUAUUA
This 448-nucleotide ribosomal RNA is filed under the name uncultured bacterium. RNAcentral's name for it is "bacterial SSU rRNA". It matches the Rfam family "Bacterial small subunit ribosomal RNA", at positions 330 to 795 of the family's 1533-position model. The record is from RNAcentral.